This 431-nucleotide ribosomal RNA is filed under the name uncultured bacterium. RNAcentral's name for it is "partial 16S ribosomal RNA". It matches the Rfam family "Bacterial small subunit ribosomal RNA", at positions 29 to 507 of the family's 1533-position model. The record is from RNAcentral.
AACGAACGCUGGCGGCAGGCCUAGCACAUGCAAGUCGAGCGCCCUUUCGGGGGAGCGGCGGACGGGUGAGUAACGCGUGGGAAUAUGCCCUUCUCUACGGAAUAGCCUCGGGAAACUGAGAGUAAUACCGUAUACGCCCUAUGGGGGAAAGAUUUAUCGGGGAAGGAUUAGCCCGCGUUGGAUUAGGUAGUUGGUGGGGUAAUGGCCUACCAAGCCGACGAUCCAUAGCUGGUUUGAGAGGAUGAUCAGCCACACUGGGACUGAGACACGGCCCAGACUCCUACGGGAGGCAGCAGUGGGGAAUCUUAGACAAUGGGGGCAACCCUGAUCGAGCCAUGCCGCGUGAGUGAUGAAGGCCUUAGGGUUGUAAAGCUCUUUCAGCUGGGAAGAUAAUGACGGUACCAGCAGAAGAAGCCCCGGCUAACUCCGUG